This 72-nucleotide transfer RNA is filed under the name Camelus bactrianus (Bactrian camel). It matches the Rfam family "tRNA". From Rfam's summary of the family: Transfer RNA (tRNA) molecules are approximately 80 nucleotides in length. Their secondary structure includes four short double-helical elements and three loops (D, anti-codon, and T loops). Further hydrogen bonds mediate the characteristic L-shaped molecular structure. tRNAs have two regions of fundamental functional importance: the anti-codon, which is responsible for specific mRNA codon recognition, and the 3' end, to which the tRNAs corresponding amino acid is attached (by aminoacyl-tRNA synthetases). tRNAs cope with the degeneracy of the genetic code in two manners: having more than one tRNA (with a specific anti-codon) for a particular amino acid; and 'wobble' base-pairing, i.e. permitting non-standard base-pairing at the 3rd anti-codon position. Lineage: Eukaryota; Metazoa; Chordata; Mammalia; Artiodactyla; Camelidae. RNAcentral also lists the same sequence under 1 other name. The record is from Rfam by way of RNAcentral.
GAGGGUAUAGCUCAGUGGUAGAGUGCAUGCUUAGCAUGCACGAGGUCCUGGGUUCGAUCCCCAGUACCUCCU